GGUUUGGUAGUUCAGUUGGUUAGAAUACCUGCCUGUCACGCAGGGGGUCGCGGGUUCGAGUCCCGUCCAGACCGCAA
Molecule: transfer RNA, 77 nt
Filed under: Polaribacter glomeratus
Lineage: Bacteria; Pseudomonadati; Bacteroidota; Flavobacteriia; Flavobacteriales; Flavobacteriaceae
Also listed under: 20 other names
Description: tRNA-Asp
Rfam family: tRNA
About the family: Transfer RNA (tRNA) molecules are approximately 80 nucleotides in length. Their secondary structure includes four short double-helical elements and three loops (D, anti-codon, and T loops). Further hydrogen bonds mediate the characteristic L-shaped molecular structure. tRNAs have two regions of fundamental functional importance: the anti-codon, which is responsible for specific mRNA codon recognition, and the 3' end, to which the tRNAs corresponding amino acid is attached (by aminoacyl-tRNA synthetases). tRNAs cope with the degeneracy of the genetic code in two manners: having more than one tRNA (with a specific anti-codon) for a particular amino acid; and 'wobble' base-pairing, i.e. permitting non-standard base-pairing at the 3rd anti-codon position.
Source: RNAcentral